Molecule: ribosomal RNA, 1187 nt
Filed under: uncultured marine eukaryote
Lineage: Eukaryota
Description: bacterial SSU rRNA
Rfam family: Eukaryotic small subunit ribosomal RNA
Source: RNAcentral
CUGCAGUUAAAAAGCUCGUAGUCGGAUGUUUCGAGUGUUUUGUGUGAUUUGCAUGAUGUGCCGGAAGGCGCGUUGUUUUGGCAAGUGACCCACUCGAUUGUUGAGGUGGACUCUCGUGUCAGUUAAUUCUGUCUUGCGGGAUGAUGGAAGCCUCUCUUGCACUGUGAAUAAAACGAAGCGCUCCAAGCAGUUUGGAAAGACUGAACGAUAAAGCAUGGGAUGCUGUCAGAAGAUCUUGGGAUGACGAGUUGUCGGUGAAUUGUGAUCCUAGAUAAUGAUUACAGGAGCAGUUGGGGCGAUUGGUAUUGCAGGGGUACCGGUGAAAUGGAGAUCCUUGCAAGACUGACGAAAGCGAAAGCAUUUCGCAAGGAUGUUUUCAAUGAUCAAGAACGAAAGUCAUGGGAUCGAAGAGGAUUAGAUACCCUCGUAGUCAUGACCGUAAACGAUCCUGACUAGGAAUCGGUGCGAUUGCAUAUGUCGUGCCGGCGCCUUAGGGAAACCAAAGUUAUUGAGGUCUGGGGGGAGUAUGGAUGCAAGUCUGAAACUUAAAGGAAUUGACGGAAGGGCACCACCAAGCGUGGAGCUUGCGGCUUAAUUUGACUCAACACGGGAAAACUUACGGGGAUAGGACAAUGGAAGGAUGGACAGGCUGAAGCCCUUUCCAGAUUCUUUGGUUGGUGGUGCAUGGCCGUUCUUGGUUCGUGAAUUGAUUUGUCUGGUUUAUUCCGUUAACGAACGAGACGACGUUUGGAUGAUGCGUUCAUUUUAUGUGGUGAUUCUUGUAAUCUGCCCGACGCUCCUUCCGAGACGUACGCUGCAAGGCGUAGGAAGUGUCGCAAUAACAGGUCUGUGAUGCCCUUAGAUACCCCCGGCCGCACGCGUGCUACAAUGGACACGUCAACAAGUUCCAGCUGUUCUGUGUGGUGUAUUAGUGUUCGCACUCGCCGCGUAUUUUUGAAGGAAUGGCUAAUCUUUGAACCGUGCCCAAGGUUGGGAUCGCGGAGUGCAAUUCUUCCGCGUGAACAAGGAAUGUUUCGUAGACGCGAGUCAUCAACUCGCAUCGAUUACGUCCCUGCCCUUUGUACACACCGCCCGUCGCACCUACCGAUGCUGCUCAUCUUGAAUUCGUGGGAUUGGUCUUGUUUCGGCGAGAUUGAGAACGCGCGUGAAAGCCGUGCAGUAGAUAA